UAGCUCAGUUGGUUAGAGCAUGAUGCUGAUAACACCAAGGUCGUGGGUUCGAUCCCUGU
RNAcentral lists this transfer RNA (59 nucleotides) under Apaloderma vittatum (bar-tailed trogon). It matches the Rfam family "tRNA", at positions 8 to 63 of the family's 71-position model. From Rfam's summary of the family: Transfer RNA (tRNA) molecules are approximately 80 nucleotides in length. Their secondary structure includes four short double-helical elements and three loops (D, anti-codon, and T loops). The record is from Rfam by way of RNAcentral. Lineage: Eukaryota; Metazoa; Chordata; Aves; Trogoniformes; Trogonidae.